This 361-nucleotide ribosomal RNA is filed under the name Pseudolycoriella frederickedwardsi. RNAcentral describes it as "partial large subunit ribosomal RNA". Lineage: Eukaryota; Metazoa; Arthropoda; Insecta; Diptera; Sciaridae. The record is from RNAcentral.
AGGUAGCAUAAUCAUUAGUUUUUUAAUUGAAAACUUGUAUGAAUGGUUGAAUGAAAAAUUAACUUUUUUAAAAAAAUAAUUGAAUUUUACUUUUUAAUUAAAAGGUUAAAAUAAAUUUAAAAGACGAGAAGACCCUAUAGAGUUUUAUAAUUUUUAUUUAAUAUUUAAAAAGAUUAAUUAAAAUUUUAUAAAAGAAAAUAUUUUGUUGGGGUGAUAAUAAAAUUUAAAUAACUUUUAUUUUUUUUUUACAUUAAUAUAUGAAUUYAUGAUCCAUUAUUGAUGAUUAWAAAUUUAAAUUACCUUAGGGAUAACAGCGUAAUUUUUUUUUAAAGUUCAWAUUAAUAAAAAAUUUYGCRACCUC